GACGAACGCUGGCGGCGUGCUUAACACAUGCAAGUCGAACGGAAAGGCCCUGCUUUUGUGGGGUGCUCGAGUGGCGAACGGGUGAGUAACACGUGAGUAACCUGCCCUUGACUUUGGGAUAACUUCAGGAAACUGGGGCUAAUACCGGAUAGGAGCUCCUGCUGCAUGGUGGGGGUUGGAAAGUUUCGGCGGGUGGGGAUGGACUCGCGGCUUAUCAGCUUGUUGGUGGGGUAGUGGCUUACCAAGGCUUUGACGGGUAGCCGGCCUGAGAGGGUGACCGGCCACAUUGGGACUGAGAUACGGCCCAGACUCCUACGGGAGGCAGCAGUGGGGAAUAUUGCACAAUGGGCGGAAGCCUGAUGCAGCAACGCCGCGUGCGGGAUGACGGCCUUCGGGUUGUAAACCGCUUGCGCCUGUGACGAAGCGUGAGUGACGGUAAUGGGUAAAGAAGCACCGGCUAACUACGUG
This 468-nucleotide ribosomal RNA is filed under the name uncultured bacterium. RNAcentral's name for it is "partial 16S ribosomal RNA". It matches the Rfam family "Bacterial small subunit ribosomal RNA", at positions 28 to 507 of the family's 1533-position model. The record is from RNAcentral.